Molecule: ribosomal RNA, 457 nt
Filed under: uncultured bacterium
Lineage: Bacteria
Description: bacterial SSU rRNA
Rfam family: Bacterial small subunit ribosomal RNA
Source: RNAcentral
CAUGGCUGUCGUCAGCUCGUGUCGUGAGAUGUUGGGUUAAGUCCCGCAACGAGCGCAACCCUCGUCCUUAGUUGCCAUCAUUAAGUUGGGCACUCUAAGGAAACCGCCGGUGAUAAGCCGGAGGAAGGUGGGGAUGACGUCAAGUCCUCAUGGCCCUUACACGCUGGGCUACACACGUGCUACAAUGGCGGUGACAGUGAGCAGCUAACUCGCGAGAGUGUGCUAAUCUCCAAAAGCCGUCUCAGUUCGGAUUGUUCUCUGCAACUCGAGAGCAUGAAGGCGGAAUCGCUAGUAAUAAGCGGAUCAGCAUGCCGCGGUGAAUACGUUCCCAGGCCUUGUACACACCACCCGUCACACCAUGGGAGUUGGUUUCACCCGAAGGCAGUGCGCUAACCGCAAGGAGGCAGCUGACCACGGUGGGAUCAGCGACUGGGGUGAAGUCGUAACAAGGUAACCA